This 1388-nucleotide ribosomal RNA is filed under the name Bacillus amyloliquefaciens. RNAcentral's name for it is "bacterial SSU rRNA". It matches the Rfam family "Bacterial small subunit ribosomal RNA", at positions 69 to 1440 of the family's 1533-position model. The record is from RNAcentral. Lineage: Bacteria; Bacillati; Bacillota; Bacilli; Caryophanales; Bacillaceae.
CAGAUGGGAGCUUGCUCCCUGAUGUUAGCGGCGGACGGGUGAGUAACACGUGGGUAACCUGCCUGUAAGACUGGGAUAACUCCUGGAAACCGGGGCUAAUACCGGAUGGUUGUUUGAACCGCAUGGUUCAGACAUAAAAGGUGGCUUCGGCUACCACUUACAGAUGGACCCGCGGCGCAUUAGCUAGUUGGUGAGGUAACGGCUCACCAAGGCAACGAUGCGUAGCCGACCUGAGAGGGUGAUCGGCCACACUGGGACUGAGACACGGCCCAGACUCCUACGGGAGGCAGCAGUAGGGAAUCUUCCGCAAUGGACGAAAGUCUGACGGAGCAACGCCGCGUGAGUGAUGAAGGUUUUCGGAUCGUAAAGCUCUGUUGUUAGGGAAGAACAAGUGCCGUUCAAAUAGGGCGGCACCUUGACGGUACCUAACCAGAAAGCCACGGCUAACUACGUGCCAGCAGCCGCGGUAAUACGUAGGUGGCAAGCGUUGUCCGGAAUUAUUGGGCGUAAAGGGCUCGCAGGCGGUUUCUUAAGUCUGAUGUGAAAGCCCCCGGCUCAACCGGGGAGGGUCAUUGGAAACUGGGGAACUUGAGUGCAGAAGAGGAGAGUGGAAUUCCACGUGUAGCGGUGAAAUGCGUAGAGAUGUGGAGGAACACCAGUGGCGAAGGCGACUCUCUGGUCUGUAACUGACGCUGAGGAGCGAAAGCGUGGGGAGCGAACAGGAUUAGAUACCCUGGUAGUCCACGCCGUAAACGAUGAGUGCUAAGUGUUAGGGGGUUUCCGCCCCUUUAGUGCUGCAGCUAACGCAUUAAGCACUCCGCCUGGGGAGUACGGUCGCAAGACUGAAACUCAAAGGAAUUGACGGGGGCCCGCACAAGCGGUGGAGCAUGUGGUUUAAAUUCGAAGCAACGCGAAGAACCUUACCAGGUCUUGACAUCCUCUGACAAUCCUAGAGAUAGGACGUCCCCUUCGGGGGCAGAGUGACAGGUGGUGCAUGGUUGUCGUCAGCUCGUGUCGUGAGAUGUUGGGUUAAGUCCCGCAACGAGCGCAACCCUUGAUCUUAGUUGCCAGCAUUCAGUUGGGCACUCUAAGGUGACUGCCGGUGACAAACCGGAGGAAGGUGGGGAUGACGUCAAAUCAUCAUGCCCCUUAUGACCUGGGCUACACACGUGCUACAAUGGACAGAACAAAGGGCAGCGAAACCGCGAGGUUAAGCCAAUCCCACAAAUCUGUUCUCAGUUCGGAUCGCAGUCUGCAACUCGACUGCGUGAAGCUGGAAUCGCUAGUAAUCGCGGAUCAGCAUGCCGCGGUGAAUACGUUCCCGGGCCUUGUACACACCGCCCGUCACACCACGAGAGUUUGUAACACCCGAAGUCGGUGAGGUAACC